GAUUAACGCUGGCGGCGUGCCUAACACAUGCAAGUCGAACGAUGAAACUUUACUGACUUCUUCGGAAUGAUUUAAAGCGGAUUAGUGGCGAACGGGUGAGUAACGCGUGAGUAACCUGCCUUACACAAGGGGAUAGCCUCUGGAAACGGAGAAUAAUACCCUAUGAAACCAGACAAUCGCAUGAUAAUCUGGUCAAAAUGUUUAGUGGUGUAAGAUGGACUUGCGUCUGAUUAGCUAGUUGGUGAGAUAAAAGCUCACCAAGGCAACGAUCAGUAGCCGGCUUGAGAGAGUGUACGGCCACAUUGGGACUGAGACACGGCCCAGACUCCUACGGGAGGCAGCAGUGGGGAAUUUUGCACAAUGGGGGAAACCCUGAUGCAGCGACGCCGCGUGAUUUAGAAGGCCUUCGGGUUGUAAAAAUCUUUUGUAUAGGAAGAAAAUGACAGUACUAUACGAAUAAGGUCCGGCUAAUUACGUG
This 478-nucleotide ribosomal RNA is filed under the name uncultured bacterium. RNAcentral describes it as "partial 16S ribosomal RNA". It matches the Rfam family "Bacterial small subunit ribosomal RNA", at positions 28 to 507 of the family's 1533-position model. The record is from RNAcentral.